RNAcentral lists this long non-coding RNA (415 nucleotides) under Citrus maxima (pomelo). Its description in RNAcentral is "long non-coding RNA (CMAX_LNC002254)". Lineage: Eukaryota; Viridiplantae; Streptophyta; Magnoliopsida; Sapindales; Rutaceae. The record is from RNAcentral.
AAAAUACAAUAAUAGCAAAUUUUAACGAUCAUUAAAAAUUAAAAAAAUUAGAUAGUAUUACAUCAAAGAACAUAAAACUUACUGGAUCCUUAUUGCUCUCCUGUGUUGGGACUACAAUAUCCACCUCAAGAUUAUCAAACAACAUCCCAAACUUUGGCUCAUACUUUUUUUGUUUCACGUCCGCAACAUUAUCAGUUUCUUCAUUAUUUCCAUCUAAAUUGUUGUCAUCUAAAUCUUCGACUUCGUAAUUCUUUCCUGAAUCCGUCAUUUCUAUACCAUGAAAAAUAAAUUGUAUUAACCAUAUACAAUUCAAACAAAAUCUAUAUUUCAAAUAACUUAUUUCUAAUAAUUUUAAAAUAUAAAUACAAUAAAUCAAAACUUUUCCGCAACAUACUAAAUUUAGUGACCUAGGUUG